This 474-nucleotide long non-coding RNA is filed under the name Delphinapterus leucas (beluga whale). RNAcentral describes it as "lncRNA (ENSDLEG00000013912.1)". The record is from RNAcentral. Lineage: Eukaryota; Metazoa; Chordata; Mammalia; Artiodactyla; Monodontidae.
UGAUUGGCCCGGGCGGAAGGCAGCGCCUGGCUUUAAAGGGACUGCGCCCUCCAGGGGCAGACGUGAGGGAAGUGACCUGUGGAGUUUGAAGCGGAGUCGGACCACUAAGAUCCUCCCCCACCCCACCCCCACCACCGCUGGAAGGAAUUUCGAAAUCACCCGGCCUGGUGCUGGUCGUACGCUAUUUUCAGAAGGCCAGAGAGAUUGUGCCACUUGUUCAACUCCACACAGUGCUCCUCCUGCUCUCCGUCUAUCUUCCAGAGUUGAGAAAAGGGCUCUGUCCAGAGGCAAGCUGAUGAAUUGGCUAGCUGGGAAAAAGAACCAAAAGCCCUCCACUGUAGCUGAUUUCAAGCCACCCAUGCGAUGUCACUGCAUGUAGAGUUGGGAAGAGACUCACAGAAUCAGCUCUUGCAAGCAGGUAGGAGCCAGCUCCAGCACACCACUGGCUCUGUCCCAGGACAGUCCCACUGCCAU